This 350-nucleotide ribosomal RNA is filed under the name uncultured bacterium. RNAcentral's name for it is "partial 16S ribosomal RNA". It matches the Rfam family "Bacterial small subunit ribosomal RNA", at positions 338 to 699 of the family's 1533-position model. The record is from RNAcentral.
CCUACGGGUGGCAGCAGUCGAGAAUCAUUCACAAUGGGGGAAACCCUGAUGGUGCGACGCCGCGUGGGGGAAUGAAGGUCUUCGGAUUGUAAACCCCUGUCAUGUGGGAGCAAAUUAAAAAGCUAGUACCACAAGAGGAAGAGACGGCUAACUCUGUGCCAGCAGCCGCGGUAAUACAGAGGUCUCAAGCGUUGUUCGGAAUCACUGGGCGUAAAGCGUGCGUAGGCUGUUUCGUAAGGCGGGUGUGAAAGGCGCGGGCUCAACCCGCGGACGGCACAUGAUACUGCGAGACUAGAGUACAGGAGCGGGAACCGGAAUGGUCGGUGUAGCAGUGAAAUGCGUAGAGAUCG